AGAGUUUGAUCAUGGCUCAGAACGAACGCUGGCGGCAGGCUUAACACAUGCAAGUCGAACGCCCCGCAAGGGGAGUGGCAGACGGGUGAGUAACGCGUGGGAAUCUACCCAGAUCUUCGGAAUAACCCAGGGAAACUUGGACUAAUACCGGAUACGCCCUACGGGGGAAAGAUUUAUCGGUUCUGGAUGAGCCCGCGUUGGAUUAGCUAGUUGGUGGGGUAAUGGCCUACCAAGGCGACGAUCCAUAGCUGGUCUGAGAGGAUGAUCAGCCACACUGGGACUGAGACACGGCCCAGACUCCUACGGGAGGCAGCAGUGGGGAAUAUUGGACAAUGGGCGAAAGCCUGAUCCAGCCAUGCCGCGUGAGUGAUGAAGGCCUUAGGGUUGUAAAGCUCUUUCAGUGGGGAAGAUAAUGACGGUACCCACAGAAGAAGCCCCGGCUAACUUCGUGCCAGCCGCCGCGGUAAUAC
RNAcentral lists this ribosomal RNA (470 nucleotides) under uncultured bacterium. RNAcentral describes it as "bacterial SSU rRNA". It matches the Rfam family "Bacterial small subunit ribosomal RNA", at positions 8 to 526 of the family's 1533-position model. The record is from RNAcentral.